RNAcentral lists this ribosomal RNA (302 nucleotides) under uncultured bacterium. RNAcentral's name for it is "bacterial SSU rRNA". It matches the Rfam family "Bacterial small subunit ribosomal RNA", at positions 28 to 325 of the family's 1533-position model. The record is from RNAcentral.
GAUGAACGCUAGCGGCAGGCUUAAUACAUGCAAGUCGUGGGGCAGCAUGAGUAGCAAUACUUGAUGGCGACCGGCAAACGGGUGAGGAACACGUACACAACCUUCCUUCAAGCGGGGAAUAGCCCAGAGAAAUUUGGAUUAAUACCCCAUAAUAUAUUUGAUAAGGCAUCUUAUUAAUAUUAAAGCUUCGGCACUUGAUGAUGGGUGUGCGGCUGAUUAGAUAGUUGGCGGGGUAACGGCCCACCAAGUCUACGAUCAGUAGCUGAUGUGAGAGCAUGAUCAGCCACGACGGGCACUGAGAC